CCGAGCAUGAUCAAGAACGCGGCGACAAUGCCGCGCGCGGGGGGCGGGGAAGGGAAAUAAAGAUCCUAAAUUACUAUAAGUGUCGUCCAAAUGCUCGUGCCAGAAGACUCGGUAAGGCGAGAGACGCAAACGUUAGUCGUCUUGAUCAGGCGUAAAGGGUUUGUAGGCAGCUUUAAGCAUCCAAUUUAAUGUUUACUAUUAUAAUAUUUACAAAUUAUAAUAUUUAUUAUAGGAUUAAUUAAAGCUAGAAUCUAAAAGAGGCGAAUACAAUGCUUGAGCUUAGGAGUACUAACCGCAAACAUCAAGUAGAGUGCUAAGGGCGAAGGCAGUUUUCCAAUAAAGAUUAACGCUGAGAAACGAAGGUGAGGAUAGAAAAAAGGAUGUGCGACCAGAAAAGUUUUUUUAAGUAUUGCGGAUUUAGUCUGUCUUGUAAUCUAUCUUACACGAGUUCGCCUUAAUAGGCAUUAUUGGUAACAAUUUUGUCUAAAGCUUAAGGUUUAAUUUUAGAAAGGUUAAUAAUUUUCUUUAAUUUGAGCUGUUUUCUAAGGUUAGAGAAAUUGAAUCUAUGUAAUUAAAAUUUUUAAUAUUUAGGAUUUUAGCGUGUCCUUGGUUAAAGUCAGAUAGACAAAAAGUGUUAAAAAUAAAGUAGAAACCUAAGGAAAACUAACGUACUUAAAAAGGAACUGGGUAAGCCCUAUAAUUUGCUAAUUAAAAAAUUUUUAAUAGCCAGGUUAACUGUAAAGUUCUCCGCAUAAUUAGAGGGUAUAAGACAGCGUUAAAAGCAAAUGUCUUAAUGUAAUGUUAAGAAUAAGCUUGAUUUAAGCUAAUCUGAAAGGAUGCAAACUAACGCAUGGGUUAUUUUAAAGCAUAAAAAAGUUUAAAGGACAUGAAAAAAACUUUUUAAAAUUUAAUAAACAAAAUUGGAUAGAAUGGUUUAUAAGAUUUUGUAAUGACUGAUGGUAAUUUUCAAGUAUUUCCUAAAUAAGAAGCUAUCUAAAAAAAAGCGGUACAGUCUAUAUACAUAUGGUAUGGCUUUCAUGUAGUUUAACUUUAAAAUUUACAUUAUUGCAAAGCUCACACAUAAUAAUAUAGCUACAUCUAUGAUAUCAUUAUGAGAGGAGGCUAGUCUCUGUUACAAACUAUAGAGUAAAAUUAUGAAAUAUUUUUGGAGUAGUCGGAUUGUGACCUCAGAAUUGAUGCCAGUCAAUUGAUUGCAUAAUAGGUAAGGUGAACAUGGGAGAAAUAUCGGU
RNAcentral lists this ribosomal RNA (1250 nucleotides) under Phylloporia manglietiae. Its description in RNAcentral is "partial small subunit ribosomal RNA". The stretch from base 1 to 454 matches the Rfam family "Bacterial small subunit ribosomal RNA", at positions 399 to 873 of the family's 1533-position model. The record is from RNAcentral. Lineage: Eukaryota; Fungi; Basidiomycota; Agaricomycetes; Hymenochaetales; Hymenochaetaceae.